CGCACAUUUUCUGACCCUAAGGGAGAUAGGAGCAACAUAAGUCUAUCCCUUUGAUAUUGACUUUUAUAUCUGUAAAAUGAGUGAAUAAUGACUCAUUCAAGUAGCAGUUAAUCAAUGUGAGAUGUGGAUGCGUCUAUGUGAGCAUGUGUAUGUGUUUUGUUAUGAGUGUUUGUGUUAAUGUAGGAGUGAACAUUGUGUUAAUGUAAGUACUGAUGAUGUAGCUGAAAUUGUGUUUGCCUGCAUGUGACUGUGAACGACUGUACUGUAUGUCUAAGCUCUGUGUGUAUAUUAACGUCUGUCUGGCGUUCUCUCUCAGACUAGAGUUUACGGUGGGCAGCAGGGUAGUGAGCUGUUUCGUCUGAUAGAGAGGCACGACUUCAGAGACCUGAUCCUCAAGACCUUUUGACUUUGAGAUCGGCUACUGCAACCCCUACAGCAGGAACACCUGUGAACACAUCUACAGUCUACCUGACCUGGAGGCAGACAUGGAGGCACAUAUAUAUGCAUGCUCACUAGGGAUGCAACGGUACACAGUAUGUUGUCAAACGGUUCGGUACGCCCCCUAUGGUUCAAUACGCACAUGUGAACCGCGGAAUUACGAUAUGCCUGUCAUUUUCCUAUAAUUACCAAAAUGUGUUUAUUGCGUUGCAGACUACCCGCACGUUGUACAUUCAAAUCCACAUAACUAGACUUGCAGCUUGUGAACAGGCUUGGCAGGCAACUGCUUGGGACACCAAGCCGUUAUGGGGCUCCUGAGGGCUGACAAACUUUAAUCCACAGCAAUGUCUCAAAAUGUGGCAACCCCCCAUAAUUAAACAACCAAUGGACGAUUUGCAAUGACAUCUCAGUAAGAAACCUCCCUAAAUGGGCCCCAUGAAGAAAUGGGAAACUAAAAACGAAUAUUCUCUCAGCUACAAGGUGAUAAUGUUGAGCGCUAGCGAGACCGAGAGAAGUAAAUUUGAAGAAGCACUGUCGUCUUUCAAAUCCGCUGUGUGGGAACAUUUUGGAUUCAGCGUUCAAUACGAUGACGAGGGUGGAGCUGGAGCAAGGGGAGUCCACUCGUUAGCGAAAACACAACAAUCUCUCGCUGCUGCCUUCCAACAACAAAACAUAAAGAAAUAACAAAAGCAGUCCAGUCACGCUGCCAUUUUCUGAAUGGAAAGUUUUAUUUGUCUAUAGGAAAAAUAAAGAGUUCAUUGUUUAAAGGGUGAUGUGUUCUUUUUUCUUAAAUAUAAAGAUACCGUACCGUUACCGUGGCCCACAAAUCGUGAUACAUACCGAACCGUGAGCCCACUGUACUGUUGCAUCCCUAAUGCACACACACAUACACACUGCUGUGCUCUAGAGUCAGUGGCAUAGGAGGUCGUUUUUUUUAUCCCUAAACAUAGCACACCAAACCAUCAAGUCACCUGCUCGAGAGUUCAGUAAGGUACAGUACAUGGAAAUCAAAUUAUAGGCAUAAAGGUGGUUGAUUCUUAUUCCAAUUAAAAUUUUCCAUUUGUGUUCUAGAAUAAGAUAUUAAAUACAAACACACAUGCAGACUGGAGCUUCAUGAAAUGUGUUUCCAUGGCCGAUUUGCCGCACACAAGCCUAACAUCACCAUGCGCAAUGCCAAGCGUCGGCUGAAGUGGUGUAAACUCACUGCCAUUGGACUAUGUAGCAAUGGAAACAAGUUCUCUGGAGUGAUGAAUCACGCUUCACCAUCUGGCAGUCCGACAGACAAAUCUGGGUUUGGUAUUUUAUUAGGAUCCCCAUCAGCAGCUACUCUUCCUGGGGUUCACAUAAAACAUAAUACAGAAUGACAUAAUACAAAACAUGAAUAGACAAGAACAGCUCAAGGACAGAACUACAUAAAAAAAAUGUAAAGGCACACAGCCUACAUAUCAAUGCAUACACAGAAACUAUUUUGGUCAAAUAGUGGAGAGGCGUUUUGCCAUGAUGUGUUGCUUUAUCUGUUUUUUUUUAAACCAAAUUUGCUGUUUAUUUGAGCAACAUGAGAUGCCAGGAGAACGCUACCUGCCCGAAUGCAUAGUUGCAACUGUAAAGUUUGGUGGAGGAGGAAUAAUGGUCUUGGGCUGUUUUCAUGGUUCGGGCUCGGGCCCUUAGUUCCAGUAAAGGGAAAUCUUAACGCUACAGCGUACAAUGACAUUCUAGACGAUUCUGUGAU
RNAcentral lists this long non-coding RNA (2167 nucleotides) under Salmo salar (Atlantic salmon). Its description in RNAcentral is "lncRNA (ENSSSAG00000102444.1)". The record is from RNAcentral. Lineage: Eukaryota; Metazoa; Chordata; Actinopteri; Salmoniformes; Salmonidae.